RNAcentral lists this long non-coding RNA (229 nucleotides) under Lathyrus oleraceus (garden pea). RNAcentral describes it as "Pisum sativum (pea) long non-coding RNA (PSAT_LNC017686)". The record is from RNAcentral. Lineage: Eukaryota; Viridiplantae; Streptophyta; Magnoliopsida; Fabales; Fabaceae.
AAAACCCUAAACAUCACACAAAUCACCAAAAAACGCAAAUGAAAAUCUGGAAAAUGACUGAUUUCGGUUUCGGUAAACCAUAGUAUGGGUGUUAACUUGAGAAGAAACCCACUUCUAAGUUCUUUUUUCUGAACUGGGUUUGUGGAAUUUGGAUGUUAUUGUUGACAGGAAAAUGAACGCACAAGCAGCGAUGCAGAUGAGUGGCGAGCUAUGGGAAACAUGGAUCACA